CAGCAUGUUUCCAAGAGCUGUGGCCAUUCAUGGCCAAGCUAGAGCAUCCUAAAGAGACUUCGAAAAAACAGGUCAGCAUAAUACCUGCAACUGCCACUCACCUGCCUAUAACA
This is a small nucleolar RNA of Vulpes vulpes (red fox), 113 nucleotides long. The record is from Ensembl. NCBI's taxonomy places the organism in Eukaryota, Metazoa, Chordata, Mammalia, Carnivora, Canidae.